GGACGUUGUCAGAAUGGCUACAUUCGACGAUUCGGAAAUGUAUACGGAUCCUCUUUAUGUCGAGGGUCUUGUUAAAUGGCAGGAGCGCUGCCGUGAACCCAUCCCUAAUGAAUCACGAGAGGAGAUCUACGCGAACUUCCGCUAUUCGUGGUACUGGAAGGAUCACCAGAACAAACGAC
Long non-coding RNA from Penaeus indicus, 179 nucleotides. RefSeq lists it as uncharacterized. The record is from RefSeq and is a predicted model, not a curated record. The transcript is spliced from 3 exons. NCBI's taxonomy places the organism in Eukaryota, Metazoa, Arthropoda, Malacostraca, Decapoda, Penaeidae.